GCGGAACUGUGGGAGGCAGUGGAGUCGGCUGCCGCCGGGCUCCUGACCACAAGGGGGCGCAUCUCCUCCACUGUCUCCCGCAGCCUGAGAACUGCGCUGCUAUUGUGGACGGAGGAGCAGUCACUGACACGGAAGCUGCCUCCUGUAGGGAGAGAUGGCACUGGCUGCAGCUAGGGGGAGCUCCAGAGCACAGCUCCUCUUCUAGCCAGCCGAGGGAAGCUCUCUGCUCCGUCAGCCUGAUGAUGAAAGCCAAAGACAGAUGAAUCCCACCCUGCCCGUUUUUGUGCGCCCUACCAACCCGCCGUUUUCUGCCUGCCGUACCCCGCCACGCCGCCAGACCCAGCCGUGCGCCGCCGGACCCGAUUGCUGCUGAAAAAGCCGCCGGCAGAGACCCGCCGCGUGUGAGCAGUGAGCCGCGGCUAGCCAGAGAGAGGAAACCACCGGCUGCCCGCCGCUCAGCAAAGGAGAGACAGAGCCGCAUCGCUGCAGGACGGAGCCGCCAGCCGCCCGCCGUUUCCGUGGAAACAGAGCCGCUGCAGGGGAAAGAGACGCCUCUGAGCUGCAGGGACCCACAGGAGAGAGGAACUACCCGAGGAGGACACCCAGCAGUGUGUCCGCUGCCACCAGCCUCCACCGAUCAGACAGCCGGCACCCAGGAGGAACUUACCCAACAACCGCCAGCGCCAUCCACCAGACCGCAGGUACU
Molecule: long non-coding RNA, 706 nt
Organism: Pseudophryne corroboree (corroboree frog)
Lineage: Eukaryota; Metazoa; Chordata; Amphibia; Anura; Myobatrachidae
Exons: 3
Source: RefSeq, a predicted model, not a curated record